Molecule: ribosomal RNA, 236 nt
Filed under: uncultured bacterium
Lineage: Bacteria
Description: partial 16S ribosomal RNA
Rfam family: Bacterial small subunit ribosomal RNA
Source: RNAcentral
UGAGGAACAUGACCUUCGGCGGGGGAUAGCCGGCCCAACGGCCGGGUAAUACCGCGUACGACCACUUUGGGACAUCCCUCGGUGGUGAAAGCAGCAAUCCGCCGAUGGAGUGCCUCGCGGCCUAUCAGCUAGUUGGUGAGGUAACGGCUCACCAAGGCGACGACGGGUAGCUGGUCUGAGAGGAUGGCCAGCCACAUUGGGACUGAGACACGGCCCAGACCUCCGUACGGGAGNAG